AUGGUGUGGUUGUUGAACUCCGUGGUGCCCUCCAUUGGACGCUCUGUGGAGGGGCUAUCCACACCUGCUGAGAUAUGUAAGAUUCUGUCCACCCAAUACUCUGGCAAGGGCAAUGUCAUGCUCAUUGCUCAGAUUGAGGACAAGAUUAGGUUGUUGCGCCAAGAUGAUGGCAUGUCAGUGAUGAAAUACGUGGCAGAACUGCAGGCUCUGUGGGCUGACCAGGAUAACUGUGAUCCCCUGGAACUCUAUGACGCGGCUUCAAUCGAGUCAGGGCACAAGUGGAUGGCACGCAGGCGUGUGCUAAAAUUUUUGGCUGGCCUCAAAGGUUGCUUUGAUGGCAGGAAGGCUUCCCUGUUGCACCAACCUAGUCUGCCUACCAUUCCCGAGGCUAUUGCAGCGAUGACUCAAGAGGAGGUGCGCCUAUCCCUUGGGCAUGCAGAUGUGAAGGUUGUGCCAGCUUCGACAUUUGCCGUCACUGAGCGCAUGGAGUGGGGAGAUCCCACCAAAUGUCAUAUCUGUGGGGAGGUAGGUCACUGGAAGAGAGAAUGUCCAACUCAUGGCAGAGGCAGGGGAUAUAACAGAGGGGGAACAGGCAGAAGCAUAAGUGCUAGAGGUAGAGGUGGAUACUUAGAAACCUCAUGGGGCCAGGCUUCUAGAGGCAGAGGUGGCUACUCAGGACACUCAGGGGGUCAGAGGGCUCACAUGGCCGUUGCAGGAGACAAUGGGACGUCCAAAGGCAAAGAUGUAGAUGAUGUUGUCUAUGGAGACUUUGCUCACUGGGCCUCCACUAGGCAAUCCGGAAAGAGCAUCUCUUGCUACUAA
RNAcentral lists this ribosomal RNA (822 nucleotides) under Triticum aestivum (bread wheat). Its description in RNAcentral is "partial small subunit ribosomal RNA". The record is from RNAcentral. Lineage: Eukaryota; Viridiplantae; Streptophyta; Magnoliopsida; Poales; Poaceae.